AAAUUCAAACACAGGGAACCGCGUUUACUCUUCUUUUUUAAUUUUUCUUUUCCAUGGGUUCAAACUUGCAAGUUUGAAAUGACUUAACUCUACUCUUCUAAUGAGUCUUGCUUUUGACUUGUGCGCCAUCUCAAGUCUGUAUUGUUCUUAUUCCUUUCAAAUCUACUUCUCCAUCACGCGCACACAGACCUCGAGAACAGGAAUUCUCAGCUUCGGCUUCCCAGAUGCACAAAAAGGCAGCCUCAUAACUAAACCCGCAGUUGCUUGUAUUGGUACAAGAUCACCAGAAAGAUGAGGAAAACAAUCCUAUCAGUCAACUAUCAAUGCAUUUUCUUCUAUUUUGUUGGUUUUCUAUUAAUAUAUGAAUCGGUGAUGGGGGACCCCAGAGCCCAACAAGUGAAAGUUACAUGCGGACGCCAACUUGAGAACAACGCAACCAUCUUUGUGCCGAAUUUUGUUGCCACAAUGGAGAAUAUCAGUGAGCAGAUGCGUACUUCAGGGUUUGGAGUAGCGGUUACAGGUUCAGGACUUGACACUAACUAUGGCCUUGCUCAAUGUUAUGGAGACCUUUCUUUACUUGACUGUGUAUUGUGCUACGCUGAGGCACGGACAGUUCUACCACAGUGCUAUCCUUACAAUGGGGGUCGCAUUUUCCUAGAUGGUUGCUUCAUGAGAUCAGAAAACUAUAGCUUCUUUGAGGAAUAUAAAGGACCUGGAGACGAAGUUGUGUGUGGGAAUACAACAAGGAAGAAUUCAACAUUUGGGGAAUCAGCUAAGCAGGCUGUGUCAACUGCAGUGUCAAGUGCACCAAAUAACAAAGGCUAUGCACGGGCUCAAAUGGCAGUUCCAGGGACAAACGAAUCAGCUUAUGUAUUAGCUGAUUGCUGGAGGACAUUGAAUGCAAGCUCUUGCAGGGCAUGCUUGGAGAAUGCUAGUGCAUCCAUAUUGAAAUGUUUGCCUUGGUCAGAGGGGAGGGCACUGAAUACUGGGUGUUUUAUGAGGUACUCAGAUAGAAAUUUUCUCAAUCCAGUGCCAACAAACGGACGUUCGAGAGGGAGCGUUAUAGUGAUAGUGGUUUCAGUUGUCAGCUCUCUGUUGGUUCUAGGAGUUGGGGUAACUAUAGGAAUUUAUAUCUGGAAGCAGAGAUACAUACAGAAGAAAAGAAGAGGUAGUAAAGUUUGUGUUGCUUUUAUAUAUCUCUUCUGCAAUGUAAAAUCUCCAUCAUAGACAACAUUUUAAUGGAUGUGCAAGGAAAAGGCUGUUGAUACAUUUAUAUAAAAUUAUCCAUUCAGUUUUCCUUAUCUUUUGGAAUGCGAUUGUCUUUGUCCUCCAGGUUCAAAUGAUGCACAUAAGCUGGUUAAAACCCUUAAUGACAGUAGCUUGAAUUUCAAGUACUCUACACUUGAGAAGGCUACAGGAUCUUUCGAUGAUGGCAACAAGCUUGGACAAGGAGGAUUUGGAUCAGUUUAUAAGGGAGUUUUGCCAGAUGGAAGAGAGAUUGCCGUAAAGAGGCUUUUCUUUAACAACAGACAUAGAGCAGCAGAUUUCUACAAUGAAGUUAAUAUGAUAAGUAGUGUGGAACACAAAAAUCUGGUCAGGUUAUUGGGAUGCAGUUGUUCUGGACCUGAAAGCCUCCUUGUCUAUGAAUUCCUGCCUAACAAGAGUCUCGAUCGUUUCAUCUUUGGUAAAUACUAGAAUUUCACAUUAAAAGUUCAUCUGAUAUUGCAAAAUUAUUGCAAUCUACAGUAACAAAUAAGGCUACUCUAUUCUUGCUGCCAUUCUAUAAGCAUGUCUUACUGUCUCAAUACCGAGUCCAACUGAACUUGACAAUGUUAUGCAUAUUACAUCUAAAUGUGACAGAUCAAAACAAAGGCAAAGCCCUGACUUGGGAGAAGAGAUAUGACAUCAUUAUUGGAACAGCAGAAGGUUUAGUCUAUCUUCAUGAAAACUCCAAGAACAGGAUCAUUCACAGGGAUAUAAAGGCUAGCAACAUUUUAUUGGAUUCUAGGUUUCGCGCUAGAAUUGCCGAUUUUGGAUUGGCCAGGUCUUUCCAAGAAGAUAAGAGUCAUAUCAGCACAGCCAUUGCAGGAACACUGUGAGUAUCAGUUCCUUUUUGUUCAUUUGCGGAGGUAUUACUCAAAGUUUAAGCUCAAUAAUCUUGUAAUAAAAUGAUUGAAUAUGAAAUUCAUAUAUGAACAUGAUAUUAUGAAAGAGCAAUGAUUUCAAUUUUAUAAAUCUGCAGUGGAUACAUGGCACCAGAGUACCUGGCUCAUGGGCAGUUAACAGAAAAGGCAGAUGUCUACAGCUUUGGUGUGCUUUUGUUGGAGAUUGUCACAGGGAGGCAGAACAACAGGAGCAAAACCUCGGAAUAUACAGACAGCCUAGUCACACUUGUAAGUUCCAGGAAUCUAACCUUAACCUGUCUUUCUUCAGUCAAAUCAUCUGAUGUUGCACCACCACCAUAACAGCAAUGUGAAGAAUGAUGUCCUCAGAGUAGUGCAUAUAGGACUUCUAUGUACACAAGAGAUAGCAUCACUUCGACCAACAAUGGCAAAGGCGCUACAGAUGCUAACAGCAGAUGAACAACUCCCUGCACCCACUAAUCCCCCUUUCAUAGAUGAAAAAACCAUGGAACUAAAUGACACAUGCGAGGACCCAUGGUACCCUCUUAAUGCUGGCCUUUCAGCAUCAAUUGCAACUGUCACCCAUAGUUCCUUCUAUCCAAGAUGACCUGAAGAGCAACAAAAGGGAGUUCUACAGAGGACAAUUGCGUUUAAAAUCUUGACACAAAAUGAAAGAUAAACAUCAGUCAGUAUGUCACCUCAUCAAAGCACAUGUUGCAAGCAAUUUCAGGAACCUGAUGGAGGCCUAUUUGAGCAGUUGGCAAUAUAUGCAGAUGGGCAUCCAAUGACUUGUAGAUAUGAAAUUGAGGAUAGUUGCCGAUGUUCAUAUGUUUAUCAUGAAAUUAGAGAAAAAAAAAAUACCCCAACUAAAGCUGUAUUUUUCCUCAAGAAAUUUUGGGUUUAAAUCAAUGAAUCUCAGCUUGCCAAAGACUGGAUAUGAGACUGCAAUAAUGUCCUUAUUUCUCUUGUAUGCAAAAUUGCAUGUUUUUUUACCUUUUGCACCCACGGGAAAGAAUGGAUAAAGAAAGUGAGAAACUAAAGUGCAGUGUAUGUGUGGACGAUGGACAUAGGAAUUCGGUCAUGUUGCCAAAAUUGUUUUACAAAUACAAAGAACUUACAGCAUGGAACUUCUGAGUUCACAGACAAUAUUCUAAUACAAAGUUAAAACCCCUGUACUUCCUCGCAAGAAAACUUGGAACAUAUCCUGGCAAAUUCCAAGCAUCAUUCUUUGUCUAUCGUGUGGCCACUAGGUUUCCCAUUAGGCCUCCACUAAUUUCAUAAUGUUUGGCAGUCGAAAAUCCUGCUUCCAGAGCAAGUUCCCCCAACUCCUCCCCUGUAUCAAGAGCACACACUAUGAUCACCUAGUCAAUAAUAAGAAGUUGCAGGAGUAAAUGUGCCUUCCAUAAGUAUUUCCAAUUUUGCAGUUCCACCUUCAAACAGUUUUGAACAUACUGGCUAUUAUAAAACAACAAAAACUUGAUACAAAUCAACGGCCCAACAAAAAUCUUUAGUUUCUGACCCAGUAGACAAAAAAGACCUCGAGAUGGAUAGUAACUUGACAGAGAGAAGCAAUUAAAUACGUAUUUUCAUUAGACCCGAGGUUUUAUUAGUAUUCAAAAUUUGUUUAUUUUACAUUACCACUCUGAAAAUAAAUAAUGCAUACAUUAUAGCGGGAGAAAAAAGACCUCUCAAAAAUUCUCUGAUUGAGCUGUUCAAGUAUUCAUACUUCUUUGCAAGGCCAUGGGCAGAUGCCACAGGAACAACAACACUGCCAAUCAUCCAUUCCUUGAUAAGAAAUAUACAAAAGAUAUGAUUUUUGUCAUAUUUUCAAAUAGACAAUAAAUAUUAUCAAACUUUAAGCCUGCCAAUCAAUUGACAUUUGCAAUAAGUUUCAAUAAUAUAUAAAAGUCUAAUUGUCUGAAAAAUCCUAAACUUUUAAACACUUUCAAUGGUAUUCCACACUUUUAAUUUUGUCAUUUGGUUCAUAAAUCAUCAAUAAUCAACGCUGGCUCAUAUUGAGCAAAAAAAAAAAAUCAUUGACAGCGAACAAAUUUCAUUUGUUCAAGCUCGAUUAGAAACAUCAUAUGCACAGAAUUUUAGGCGUCAAAAAGGCAAAUACCAAAAGCCUUUCAUUUUGUAACUGAAUACCUGAAAUGAAACCACAAAUGGUUGAGUACUCUUAUUAAAGUCAAGGACAGAUGCUUUUGCACCUGUAAACCAGAGCAAGGAUGAGAAAUUUUUUAUCAACCUAUCAUUUUAUUGGAUA
This 4389-nucleotide unclassified non-coding RNA is filed under the name Hevea brasiliensis (rubber tree). The record is from RNAcentral. Lineage: Eukaryota; Viridiplantae; Streptophyta; Magnoliopsida; Malpighiales; Euphorbiaceae.